AGAGUUUGAUCAUGGCUCAGAUUGAACGCUGGCGGCAGGCCUAACACAUGCAAGUCGAACGGUAACAUUUCUAGCUUGCUAGAAGAUGACGAGUGGCGGACGGGUGAGUAAUGCUUGGGAACUUGCCUUUGCGAGGGGGAUAACAGUUGGAAACGACUGCUAAUACCGCAUAAUGUCUACGGACCAAACGGGGCUUUUAGCUCCGGCGCAAAGAGAGGCCCAAGUGAGAUUAGCUAGUUGGUAAGGUAAUGGCUUACCAAGGCAACGAUCUCUAGCUGUUCUGAGAGGAAGAUCAGCCACACUGGAACUGAGACACGGUCCAGACUCCUACGGGAGGCAGCAGUGGGGAAUAUUGCACAAUGGGGGAAACCCUGAUGCAGCCAUGCCGCGUGUGUGAAGAAGGCCUUCGGGUUGUAAAGCACUUUCAGUUGUGAGGAAAAGUUAGUAGUUAAUACCUGCUAGCCGUGACGUUAACAACAGAAGAAGCACCGGCUAACUCCGUGCCAGCAGCCGCGGUAAUACGGAGGGUGCGAGCGUUAAUCGGAAUUACUGGGCGUAAAGCGCACGCAGGCGGCUUGUUAAGCUAGAUGUGAAAGCCCCGGGCUCAACCUGGGAUAGUCAUUUAGAACUGGCAGACUAGAGUCUUGGAGAGGGGAGUGGAAUUCCAGGUGUAGCGGUGAAAUGCGUAGAUAUCUGGAGGAACAUCAGUGGCGAAGGCGACUCCCUGGCCAAAGACUGACGCUCAUGUGCGAAAGUGUGG
This 760-nucleotide ribosomal RNA is filed under the name uncultured marine microorganism. RNAcentral describes it as "bacterial SSU rRNA". It matches the Rfam family "Bacterial small subunit ribosomal RNA", at positions 8 to 764 of the family's 1533-position model. The record is from RNAcentral.